Molecule: transfer RNA, 90 nt
Filed under: Aquisphaera giovannonii
Lineage: Bacteria; Pseudomonadati; Planctomycetota; Planctomycetia; Isosphaerales; Isosphaeraceae
Description: tRNA-Ser
Rfam family: tRNA
About the family: Transfer RNA (tRNA) molecules are approximately 80 nucleotides in length. Their secondary structure includes four short double-helical elements and three loops (D, anti-codon, and T loops).
Source: RNAcentral
GGAGAGGUGGCUGAGUGGUCGAUAGCGACGGUUUGCUAAACCGUUAUACUCCGAAAGGGGUAUCGGGGGUUCGAAUCCCCCCCUCUCCGC